GGCAGCCGCAGGUCACGGGCUAGGCUGCCAAUGAGCACACCGGCAGGCAGCCCCUCAUUGAGGCUGUAGAAGAGUUCGGUGGCACGGCUGUAACUGGCAAAGCAGUUGAAAGGUCCAACGAAGAGCAGGAAGAGGAGCAAGUGCUGCAGGCUGCCGCGGGCGCUGGGGCUGCUGCAACCGCCCGGGGACCCCAUGCCAGGCCGCCGGCUGCGCCCGAGCCGCCCGCCCGCUCCGCCGCCCGCCCGGCGCCUCUCCUCCCCGCGGCAGCCCAUUCCCUCGC
Molecule: long non-coding RNA, 280 nt
Filed under: Gallus gallus (chicken)
Lineage: Eukaryota; Metazoa; Chordata; Aves; Galliformes; Phasianidae
Source: RNAcentral